GUUUUCCUUUCAGUCAGCAUUAGGGUUUUAAACCCUAAACUGAACUUUUUCCUUUCAGUCAGCAUUAGGGUUUUAAACCCUAAACUGAACUUUUCCAUUCAAUCAUUAGGGUUUUAAACCCUAAACUGAACGCUUUCCAUUUAGUCAGCAUUAGGGUUUUAAACCCUAAACUGAACUUCUCCUUUAGUCAGCAUUAGGGUUUAAACCCUAAACUAGAACUUUUUCCUUUAGUCAGCAUUAGGGUUUUAAACCCUAAACUGAACUUUUUCCAUUAAGUCAGUAUUAGGGUUUUAAACCUUAAACUAAACUUUUCCGUUAGUCAGUAUUAGGGUUUAAAACCCUAAACAGAACUUUUUCCAUUCAGUCAGUAUUAGGGUUUUAAAACCCUAAACUGAACUUUUCCUUUAGUCAGCAUUGGGGCCCCAACCCUAAACUGAACUUUUUCCCAGUUGGUCAGCAUUAGAGUUUCAACUCUAAACUGAACUUCUUCCCAGCUAGUCGGUAUUAGGGCUCCAACCCUGAACUGAGCAUUCAUAUCCUCUUUCAUCAAUUUUAUGAACUUCCUGGCGAAUAAUUCACGAAAUUUUCCUAGUGAAACUGGGGCAGAAAAUUUCGUUCGUUUGUUUUUCCC
This 631-nucleotide long non-coding RNA is filed under the name Nicotiana tabacum (common tobacco). RNAcentral's name for it is "long non-coding RNA (NTAB_LNC001206)". Lineage: Eukaryota; Viridiplantae; Streptophyta; Magnoliopsida; Solanales; Solanaceae. The record is from RNAcentral.